UACGUAGGGGGCUAGCGUUGUCCGGAUUUAUUGGGCGUAAAGAGCGUGUAGGCGGCCAGGUAGGUCUGCUGUGAAAACUCGAGGCUCAACCUCGAGAUGUCGGCGGAAACCAUCUGGCUAGAGUCCGGAAGAGGAAAGUGGAAUUCCUGGUGUAGCGGUGAAAUGCGCAGAUAUCAGGAGGAACACCGGUGGCGAAGGCGGCAUCCUGGACCAAUACUGACGCUGAGGAGCGAAAGCCAGGGGAGCAAACGGG
This 253-nucleotide ribosomal RNA is filed under the name uncultured bacterium. RNAcentral describes it as "partial 16S ribosomal RNA". It matches the Rfam family "Bacterial small subunit ribosomal RNA", at positions 524 to 776 of the family's 1533-position model. The record is from RNAcentral.